GUGAUGAUGGCCCAGUCAACCCCCAUCAUGCCAGCAGCACAUUAGGGCAGCUGCUCAGAAAGCGCUGGCUCAGCACAAAGCCACAGGGAAUAACAGAGAGCAUGAAUAUGCUGCUGAGCCUUCCCAGAAUUGGGAUCUGCAAAGGCAGCAAUGGAAAUGCAACUCCCUCCCAUGUGCCUGGGCAAGGCUCACGUUGUACCCAGCUGUAGCUUCACCAGCUUCCAAAGGCGAACAGGAACAGACUGCAGCAACUCACAAGAACAAGCAAAAUGUUAUCCUGGUCUCCAAGACAACAGGCAUAUCAAAACAGACAAA
Pseudopipra pipra is the source of this 315-nucleotide long non-coding RNA. RefSeq lists it as uncharacterized. The record is from RefSeq and is a predicted model, not a curated record. The transcript is spliced from 2 exons. Lineage: Eukaryota; Metazoa; Chordata; Aves; Passeriformes; Pipridae.